This 253-nucleotide ribosomal RNA is filed under the name uncultured bacterium. Its description in RNAcentral is "partial 16S ribosomal RNA". It matches the Rfam family "Bacterial small subunit ribosomal RNA", at positions 524 to 776 of the family's 1533-position model. The record is from RNAcentral.
UACGUAGGCAGCGAGCGUUGUUCGGAGUUACUGGGCGUAAAGGGUGCGUAGGGGGUUGUUUAAGUUUGGUGUGAAAUCUCCCGGCUCAACUGGGAGGGUGCGCCGAAUACUGAAUGACUAGAGUGCGGGAGAGGAUAGUGGAAUUCCUGGUGUAGCGGUGAAAUGCGUAGAUAUCAGGAGGAACACCGGUGGUGUAGACGGCUAUCUGGACCGUAACUGACGCUGAGGCACGAAAGCGUGGGGAGCGAACAGG